GAUGAAGAACGUAGCGAAAUGCGAUACAUGGUGUGAAUUGCAGAAUCCCGUGAACCAUCGAGUCUUUGAACGCAAGUUGCGCCCGAAGCCAUUAGGCCGAGGGCACGCCUGCCUGGGCGUCACACGUCGUUGCCCCCCCAUCUACUCCUUCGGGAUUGCGGGGGGCGGAUGAUGGCCUCCCGUGCGCCUCGUCGCGCGGUUGGCCUAAAUGCCAAGUCCUCGGCGACGCACGCCACGACAAUCGGUGGUUGCGAAACCUCGGUUGCCCGUCGUGUGCGGUCGUCGCGCAUCGAGGGCUCGAAAAAAUUGCCGGGCUUCGGCUCGACUUUCAACGCGACCCCAGGUCAGGCGGGGUUACCCGCUGAAUUUAAGCAUAUCAAUAAGCGGAGGA
RNAcentral lists this unclassified non-coding RNA (391 nucleotides) under soil metagenome. RNAcentral's name for it is "partial contains 5.8S ribosomal RNA, internal transcribed spacer 2, and large subunit ribosomal RNA". The stretch from base 1 to 122 matches the Rfam family "5.8S ribosomal RNA", at positions 35 to 154 of the family's 154-position model. The record is from RNAcentral.